GAUAAGCCCUAAGAGCAUGUCCAUCGGGGCUCCUUACGCGGAGGUACUUAAAAAAAAGGGAAGAAAAAUAAAUCAAAAUUGAAAAGAAAACAGAGGAGCGCUACUUAAAUUGGUAUUUUUGGGUUUGGUAAGGAUCCCUACGUGGCGCGCUACUACUGGACCACACCUUAAUGUGUCUCUCUCCUUCGUCGGUUUUUCUCCCCCGAAAUCAGUUUUGUUUCUCUUCAUCUUCGAAAGGCGAUCUCUCGCGACUGCUUCCAUCUCCGUCAAUUCGCCGUCGAUUCUCCGUCUCUCCAUCUCUCCAUCGUUUCUCUCCCAUGCACUGAGGUGAUGAUGAAAAUCAGAAGAUAGAAGAAAGUUCUUCACAGGAAUCAGCUUCAAGAGAAACCAAGGAUCCAUGAAAGGAUCAAAGUCAUACAAGAGGCGAGAUAAGAUGCGCGUGGAAGAAAGGCAACAGAUUCAUGGUCAUCAACGUGCUGCAUAGUAAAGGAAGUUUCCUUUAUAAGUUGUGUUUCCUCCGGGUGUAAAAUAACAUUUCUCUUAUAACAUUUUUUCAAAAAAAUUCCUCUGCUUCUUUUCUUUUCGAAUGUAGAAGAACAAGUUUGAAGCUCUUUUAUUUGUUUAAAAAAAAUUUAUUUUUUAAGUACCCCAA
Brassica napus (rape) is the source of this 652-nucleotide long non-coding RNA. RefSeq lists it as uncharacterized. Lineage: Eukaryota; Viridiplantae; Streptophyta; Magnoliopsida; Brassicales; Brassicaceae. The record is from RefSeq and is a predicted model, not a curated record. The transcript is spliced from 2 exons.